Molecule: ribosomal RNA, 398 nt
Filed under: uncultured ammonia-oxidizing bacterium DGGE-AG-NTF-E1
Lineage: Bacteria; Pseudomonadati; Pseudomonadota; Betaproteobacteria; Nitrosomonadales; Nitrosomonadaceae
Description: bacterial SSU rRNA
Rfam family: Bacterial small subunit ribosomal RNA
Source: RNAcentral
GAUGUCUGAUUAGCUAGUUGGUGAGGUAAAGGCUUACCAAGGCUWCGAUCAGUAGCUGGUCUGAGAGGACGACCAGCCACACUGGGACUGAGACACGGCCCAGACUCCUACGGGAGGCAGCAGUGGGGAAUUUUGGACAAUGGGGGAAACCCUGAUCCAGCCAUGCCGCGUGAGUGAAGAAGGCCUUCGGGUUGUAAAGCUCUUUCAGCCGGAACGAAACGGUCACGGCUAAUACCYGUGACUACUGACGGUACCGGAAGAAGAAGCACCGGCUAACUACGUGCCAGCAGCCGCGGUAAUACGUAUGGUGCAAGCGUUAAUCGGAAUUACUGGGCGUAAAGCGUGCGCAUGCGGUUUUGUAAGUCAGAUGUGAAAUCCCCGGGCUUAACCUGGGAACU